AAAUUGAAGAGUUUGAUCAUGGCUCAGAUUGAACGCUGGCGGCAGGCCUAACACAUGCAAGUCGAACGGUAGCACAGAGAGCUUGCUCUCGGGUGACGAGUGGCGGACGGGUGAGUAAUGUCUGGGAAACUGCCUGAUGGAGGGGGAUAACUACUGGAAACGGUGGCUAAUACCGCAUAACGUCGCAAGACCAAAGAGGGGGACCUUCGGGCCUCUUGCCAUCAGAUGUGCCCAGAUGGGAUUAGCUGGUUGGUGAGGUAACGGCUCACCAAGGCGACGAUCCCUAGCUGGUCUGAGAGGAUGACCAGCCACACUGGA
RNAcentral lists this ribosomal RNA (318 nucleotides) under Salmonella enterica. RNAcentral describes it as "partial 16S ribosomal RNA". It matches the Rfam family "Bacterial small subunit ribosomal RNA", at positions 1 to 317 of the family's 1533-position model. RNAcentral also lists the same sequence under 1 other name. Lineage: Bacteria; Pseudomonadati; Pseudomonadota; Gammaproteobacteria; Enterobacterales; Enterobacteriaceae. The record is from RNAcentral.